UGACCUCGGAUCAGGUAGGGAUACCCGCUGAACUUAAGCAUAUCAAUAAGACGGAGGAA
Molecule: ribosomal RNA, 59 nt
Filed under: Neoscytalidium dimidiatum
Lineage: Eukaryota; Fungi; Ascomycota; Dothideomycetes; Botryosphaeriales; Botryosphaeriaceae
Description: partial 28S ribosomal RNA
Source: RNAcentral